RNAcentral lists this transfer RNA (71 nucleotides) under Micropygomyia chassigneti. RNAcentral describes it as "tRNA-Cys". The record is from RNAcentral. Lineage: Eukaryota; Metazoa; Arthropoda; Insecta; Diptera; Psychodidae.
UUUUUUUUAGGUCUUAUAUUCAAAAAUGAUAUUAAAUUGCAAAUUUAAAGGAGUAAAUUUUACUAAGACUU